Molecule: ribosomal RNA, 109 nt
Filed under: Haptolina brevifila
Lineage: Eukaryota; Haptophyta; Prymnesiales; Prymnesiaceae
Description: partial Eukaryotic large subunit ribosomal RNA
Rfam family: Eukaryotic large subunit ribosomal RNA
Source: RNAcentral
CCGAUAGCGAACAAGUACCGUGAGGGAAAGAUGAAAAGACUUUUGAAAAGAGAGUAAAAUAGUACCUGAAACUGCUGAAAGGGAAGCGAUUGAAGUCAGUGUUGCUCCU